This 254-nucleotide ribosomal RNA is filed under the name uncultured bacterium. Its description in RNAcentral is "partial 16S ribosomal RNA". It matches the Rfam family "Bacterial small subunit ribosomal RNA", at positions 526 to 779 of the family's 1533-position model. The record is from RNAcentral.
CGGAGGAUCCAAGCGUUAUCCGGAAUCAUUGGGUUUAAAAGGGUCCGUAGGCGGCUUUAUAAGUCAGUGGUGAAAGCCCAUCGCUUAACGAUGGAACGGCCAUUGAUACUGUAGAGCUUGAAUUACUUGGAAGUAGCUAGAAUAUGUAGUGUAGCGGUGAAAUGCUUAGAUAUUACAUGGAAUACCAAUUGCGAAGGCAGGUUACUACAAGUGGAUUGACGCUGAUGGACGAAAGCGUGGGAGCGAACAGGAUU